RNAcentral lists this transfer RNA (76 nucleotides) under Candidatus Berkelbacteria bacterium. RNAcentral describes it as "tRNA-Arg". It matches the Rfam family "tRNA". From Rfam's summary of the family: Transfer RNA (tRNA) molecules are approximately 80 nucleotides in length. Their secondary structure includes four short double-helical elements and three loops (D, anti-codon, and T loops). Further hydrogen bonds mediate the characteristic L-shaped molecular structure. tRNAs have two regions of fundamental functional importance: the anti-codon, which is responsible for specific mRNA codon recognition, and the 3' end, to which the tRNAs corresponding amino acid is attached (by aminoacyl-tRNA synthetases). tRNAs cope with the degeneracy of the genetic code in two manners: having more than one tRNA (with a specific anti-codon) for a particular amino acid; and 'wobble' base-pairing, i.e. permitting non-standard base-pairing at the 3rd anti-codon position. The record is from RNAcentral. Lineage: Bacteria; Candidatus Berkelbacteria.
GUCCCCGUAGCUCAACGGAUAGAGCGGCUGCCUUCUAAGCAGUAGGUUGGAGGUUCGAUUCCUCCCCGGGAUGCCA